CCUCCCACCUGCUCGCCACCUCAGCUUCUGGAAUUGGACUCUGCUCCGUCUGGCUGAGGCCCUGCCUGUCUCCUAGGCCCCCGGGGCCCCCUGGGGCAGGCCGUGUCCCUGAACUCAGCCCAGAUGCCCCAGGCACAGGUGCUGCCAGAUGCUUUGCUGGGGGCUUUGUACAGGUGCCGCUGGGACCACAUGUGAGGCGCCUGGCACGCCACGAGGCUGGUGUCUCUCAGAAUAGGCAGGAAACAGAUGGCCCGCUUAUGGGAGAAAAGAGGCUUGUUCAUGAAAAGAGCAUUUUCGGAGGUGCUGCCAGGGUUGAGGGAAACCACCAGAGCCGCCGCAGAAUCAGUGGACCUGUGAGGGCGGCAGCUAUGACCACCCCCAGGCCGAAGGGGUCUGGGAAGGAUGCUUGUUACCGAGCGAGGGCCAGGGCCUCAGGCCUGAUGGCAGCUCCUCUCCUCACGGGGGGGGGUGAAGGAGAAAACGUAGCCCUCCCCACACGCUUUCCUCCGUAUGACGUCCUCUACUCUUCCUGCUUGGCCGAAAGUCCCGGCCGGAAGCUAGAGGGUGAGGGAGUCAGGUGGGCAAAGUCACCCACCCGCUGGGCAGCUCCCUGGGGCAGAGCGUGGGGUGGAAAGAACGGGGGUUCCUGUCUCGGAUAAGAGGGUACCUGGGGGGAGCAAAUAGCCGGUCAUUACCCCCCAAACGGGAGACAUUUGACAACGUUAAUGUGGUGGUGGUGAAGGUGACGAUGGAGGACGCGGAGGUUGUGCCGACGGCGGUGAUGAUGACGUUGCCAGCGCUGGAGACGAGCAUCCCCCACGGACGUUGUUGCGGACCCGAUCCAAGUUCUGCUCGUUCCCGGGAAACCCCGCACCGGGGUCUGCCCACUCGACCGCCUCGCCGGAUCACCCCUGGAUCAUGCAACACCCUCCCACUGGGUUCCCUGCCGCCCCCGCCACCAUCUGUCUUCCACGCGGCAGCCGACGGAGCCUGAGAACACGCGCCGAGGGGUCUCCCCUCCGCUCACAGCCCCCGCGCGGCCUCGCUGCACCAGCCUGAGCGGAAGUGCGACCACGGGCCCCAGGCCGCCCCGCUCUGCCUGCCCUGCUUUUUCCGCAGCACUUAGCGCCUUUUAAUCUACUACUUUAGGCCUGUGUUCUCUUUUUUGCUUUUUUCCUGUCGUCCCACACGCGGGCACUAAUUCCAUACAGGCCCAGGUCUGUCUGUUUUGCUCGCCGACAUACGAUGAGGGGGAGGAGAGGACGCAGCGCCUGGCCCAGGCCCGGCCCAUGGGAGGUGCUUAGUAAAUAUUUGCUAAGUGAAUGAAUGCACGGAAUGCAUUUCUAUUUCCAGCCCCAGCCAGGCCCCUGGCAACCCAGAAAGCAGACAGCUCUGCAAAGAAGAAAGCCCCAGCUCUCAGGGUUUGAGGACAGUUUCCGUUUGAAGGGCUGGCUGAGAAACAGGUUUUUCCCUCCUCGGAUCUGAGAUCUCCCAGCACCUCCUGCUGCCAGGUUUCCCCGAGCAGCUGAGCGGACAGGCUGGGGGAGGGGAGGGGGCUCCGCGGUGGGGGCGGAGCACUGAGGCCGCAGGCUGUCCCUGCAGCUGUUCCCGGGGCAAAUGCCUGGAAUUCUGGGAUCAUUCCCACCGGCCAAGCCAAGCCCGGGCCAGCCGAGGGCUGACCCCCUCCAAGCCAGGAGGGCCUGCCUGCCACUGCCUUCCGUGUUCUCCCGAGAGAGCCGUGGGCCUCGUCCCGGACCCCGAAGGCCAACCUCGUGGGAGUGACGGGCCCGAGUGUGCCCCCUCCCAGCCCUCCCGGGGGAGUCGCAGCUCAGCCUGGCCUGUUCACUGUCACACGCCCGAUGGUCCGGGCCGCUCCACAAGUCACAAGGCAGAUUUUCCAUUAGCGUCAAACGGAUCCUGACCUGCAACUGAUGGACCCUCCGCAAAGUGAGGGACACGACCCGGAUGCUACGAGACAGAGGAUUCGUCAUUUGCCUGGUUGCAAGUGCCUACUGGAUGCUUCUGCGCCCCACACGUUUGUGGAGCACCUACUGUGUCCCUAGCACUGUGACCUCUGGGUGACCCCCGCCCCGCCAGGCAUGAGAAAGUCGGGGUGCUCCCGACAUGAGGUGUAAGGGCCCCGAGGGGCACUAUCAGCUGGGAGUGGAGGCAGGAAAUCUCUCCCCGGACUGCCAGGCUCUGGUGCUUUCAACUUCCCAGAUACAAUUUCCUCUUCGUCUUGGGAACAAAAUCCCUUUGCUUCCCUUUAUCGAAACUUCCUUGCCCAAGCUUUACCCUCAUGAUGGCUUCUGUUGCUGGCUUACAGCCUCGCCAUCCCCAGGGUGGUCACAUGGGCUGGCCGCAGUCACGUGACCCAAGGCCAGCCAAAGACAGAACUGCACGCCCCCACCCCCAGAAACCAGUUAAGGGACGCCCGUGGUGACCCAAGUCCAAACAAUCAAAAUGACGCUCAGGGUUUUGCUGGAAUGGUGAAGGCAGAAUGACCCUGGUCCUCCAAGUGGGGAGUCCUGAGGAACCCUUAGGCCUAGAGCUCUGGGGCCACCUUCGCCCGAGAGCAAAGCCAAGUGAAAUCAAGGUUAGAGUCUGAGUAAGAUGCUGCCCGGUGGCGUCUUUGAGCUGCGGCCGUGCCUAAAAGUUAGCUGCCUUCUACACUCUCCUGUCGAGUGAACCAGAAAACUCUUCGUUCCUGAAACGAGCUUCGCUUGGGACCCGUCCCUUGUAACCAAAGGAAUCCUCUGUGCAACUGAACAGUAUAAUUCUCAAUGUAUGGAAACGGGGUUCUCUAGACGCGUACGGGGAGCAAAGCAACGCACCUGCCACAUCUCCCCGAGGGUCAGGCUGGUGGGCCAGCAAUGGGUCCGGGGAGGGCCCGCAGAGCAUACAGCAGGCAGCACAGGGGCGGGUCCUGGUGACGUCAGAGAGCAGCAAAGAAGUCAGGCUUCGGCUGCAGAGAGAUGAACAACCGCCCAUCGCAUCAUGCCCUCACCUUACUAGAGUCGCUGUUCUUGCCUGACUGAUUAGCAGCGUUGAGGGAGAGGAUUGUGCCGGGCGGCCUCCGUGGGUGCAGGGCUCCGGAUGCCUGUUUCUGGGAUUCAAGUGCCACUUAAUUUGGAAUAGUCCUCUGGGUCCAGAGCAGAAAGUGACCUCAGAGACGAGCCCGUCUCUGUCACGGGGCUGGGCCGCAGGACCUAAGUGAGCCAACAAGGGACACCCUCACUCAGCGUUCUGGAGGCUGGAGUGUGAGCCCCACACGUCAGCCGUGAUAUUCUCAGGCUUAGGUCACAUCACCUCAGUCCCUGCCUCCAUCGCCGCCUGGCCUCUUCCCUGUGUGUCUGUGAGUCCUCCUCUUAUAAAGACACCAGCCGUCGGAUUUAGGGCCCACACUCACCACUAGGACCUCACCUCAGCUUGAUUACGUCUGCAAAGACCUUAUUUCCCUAUAAGGUCACAUUGUGAUGUUCCAGGCAGAUGUGAGUUUGGGGGAACCCUAUUCAACCCACUCCAUCGUCCCACAGUCCCACACAGAUGAGGAAACCGCAUCUAAACCGUGAGAUUUUUCAGGCCAGCUGGGAUCGACCUUGGAGCACAGCCUGUAUCCUUCCCGGCCCUGCCUUCCAACGACCAGCUCCUCUAGAAGCUCUGGGCCUUCAGCGCUUGGCCCCCUUCCAGCCGGCUGGGCUCCCCCGUCCUGGGCCCAUCCUCCCCCCUCCAGGGAGCGGGGAGGAGCCGUCUCCAGACACACUGUCAAGUGGAUAAAGCUGGAUGCAGUAAGCAGUGUGCUGUCUUUGGUGCAAUAAAAGAACACUUGGCCCUGAUGCUUCUGUCACCACACGUGGGGGCUUUGGUCCCCACCGCAAGCAAUUCUCUGCAACACCAGCCGGGUGUCCUACAAUUUAACUCAAUUCUGGCACCAUCCACCCAAAGACAGCGUCGGAUCCCACAGGUUAGGGGCUGAGUCCCACGACACCCUACCCCUGUCACCCCCGACACCCCCCCUUCAGGCGCCAAUCACGACCAUCAGGGCCCAGCAGACCCACUGCUUCUGACCACGGGCUGCAACCAGGGUUCCCACGACCCUCCUGGGCUUCCAUCAGUUUGCUAGAGCGGCUCCCAGAUCUCCAGGAAACACGGUCACCGGGUCAUCGUGUGACAAAGGAGGGGACAAAGUUGCAGAUGAGCAGUCGGAUGGAGGGAUAAUGCCAACAAGUAAUUACAUGAAUGCUGUGGGCUGCCGCUCUGCCGGGGAGGGACCCGGCUCCACCCCUGCUUGGGGCAGGGCGUCCCGCGGCCUCCGGGCCACACAGCCCUGCUGGGGAAGUUUUGGCCCAAGCCAGGCCUCGGCCCGGGAGAAGCAGAGGGAGGGCCGUUCCAGAUGACAAGAAAUGGAACAGACCUGGGGCGCCUGGGUGGCUCAGUUAAACAUGCGACUUCGGCUCGGGUCAUGAUGUCCUGGUUCAUGAGUUUGAACCCCACAUCGGGCUCUGUGCUGACAGCUCAGAGCCUGGAGCCUGCUUCCGAUUCUGCCUGUGUGUGUGUGUCUCUCUCUCUGCCCCAUUCGUGCUCUGUCUCUCUCUCUGUCUC
Molecule: long non-coding RNA, 4602 nt
Organism: Acinonyx jubatus (cheetah)
Lineage: Eukaryota; Metazoa; Chordata; Mammalia; Carnivora; Felidae
Exons: 8
Source: RefSeq, a predicted model, not a curated record